GGGUGGCAGAUCUCACUAGCCACUUGUGUGGGAUGCUAAUACAAAGAUGUGGGUGCUCAUUUAGAAAAUGAGUCCACUGAAUUGAUUCGAUGAAAGAGAACAUCUUAUGGAAGUCUUACUUGCGUGUCAAAGAUGGUUCUCUAAAUGAGAGUUAUGCAAAUGAUCCUUAAAUCUGAGACCACCAUGGAAUCUAGUACAC
RNAcentral lists this long non-coding RNA (199 nucleotides) under Elaeis guineensis (African oil palm). Its description in RNAcentral is "long non-coding RNA (EGUI_LNC082355)". Lineage: Eukaryota; Viridiplantae; Streptophyta; Magnoliopsida; Arecales; Arecaceae. The record is from RNAcentral.